GACGAACGCUGGCGGCGUGCUUAACACAUGCAAGUCGAACGGAAAGGCUCCAGCUUGCUGGAGUACUCGAGUGGCGAACGGGUGAGUAACACGUGGGUAAUCUGCCCUGCACUCUGGGAUAAGCCUGGGAAACUGGGUCUAAUACUGGAUAUGACCUUUCUCCUUAUGGGGUUUGGUGGAAAGUUUUUCGGUGUAGGAUGAGCCCGCGGCCUAUCAGCUUGUUGGUGGGGUGAUGGCCUACCAAGGCGACGACGGGUAGCCGGCCUGAGAGGGUGAUCGGCCACAUUGGGACUGAGAUACGGCCCAGACUCCUACGGGAGGCAGCAGUGGGGAAUAUUGCACAAUGGGCGGAAGCCUGAUGCAGCGACGCCGCGUGAGGGAUGACGGCCUUCGGGUGGUAAACCUCUUUCAGCAGGGACGAAGCGUAAGUGACGGUACCUGCAGAAGAAGCACCGGCUAACUACGU
RNAcentral lists this ribosomal RNA (466 nucleotides) under uncultured bacterium. RNAcentral's name for it is "partial 16S ribosomal RNA". It matches the Rfam family "Bacterial small subunit ribosomal RNA", at positions 28 to 506 of the family's 1533-position model. The record is from RNAcentral.